UUGGUAUGGAUCUAAAGAUUGUCAUGAUGCAUGUGAUGUAUGUAUGAAGUUUAGAUCAUAUCCAUGUAUGUUUAAUUGUUAAACAUAUUAUAAAAAUUUAUUUUUAUGAAGUAAAAUAUAUGGUAUGCUUCACCUGAAAUCUUGGUAGAAUAGUUCUACAGACUGAAAUAUACAUUUCAUACACUUAAUUUUGAAUUAAAUUUGAAUGAUCUAGAUUUAAGAAUUGAAGAUCAUUAAAAUAUCAGAUAAAUCGAUGGGCAAAGGGUUAGCUUGAAUCAGGUCCUUCUAAUGGGUUAAACCUAGGGUUAAAAAUAUAUAUGGACCAAGUAGAGAAAUUAGUUAAAUCUAAUCCAGUGUUAAAUUAGAUUAGAUCAGAAUUUUUCUAAAUCAACUUCAAUAAUUAUAGUUUGAUCAAGUUCAUAUUUUUGACCCUAAUAAAUGGACUAUGAUCAUGGCUCCGUGGUUGAAUCCGAGUCUUUUGAUGAAUCAAAUUGAAACUAAUUAACCAGUUGGUAUCUAAGUAAGUUUGGCAGAUUCGAUCAAGUGAUUUUUAAUUGAGAGCUACUCACCUAGAUACGUCUACGGUGAGUUAAUGGCACAACCCUCCCACUGAUCUCACUUAUUUGACUGACAUGGUAGAUUGUGUUUCAAUUAGGUCAUUAGUCGAUUGGUGUGGACCCAUGCCAUUAAGGUUAAUCAGUGUGAUUGAUUUAGAUAUCUUUAGACCAACUUAUGUCUAAUCUUCUACAUGACUUGGUGAAGUCAGUGGGAGGAUUUACAGCUUGCAGAUCAUUUUCUUCUCUUAUUCUCAAGUCAAUAAAAUCAAAUUCUCUAAAUUAUUAGAUCCAUAAAAUGAUAGAGUUAUGAGAUAACUUGGUCAUAACCUCCCAUUAAGGUGUGUGACAAUGAGUCUAAUAUUUCAAUUAGGCAUUGGAGGUGUCACAUACUUGGUGUCUAUUACGUAUUGAAAUUAUCAUUCAUCAUAUGACUAUCAUGAUGUAUCUUCAGAUCAAUACUCAGGUUGAUCGAGCCGCACUCGAGUCUGGACAUCCAUUUAUUGGAUGCAUUUGAUAUUGUUAUAUUAAUGGUUGGACCUAACCAAGAUUUUCAGAGGAGGCACUACAUGCCUACUGAAGAGAUACCUGG
This 1146-nucleotide long non-coding RNA is filed under the name Elaeis guineensis (African oil palm). Its description in RNAcentral is "long non-coding RNA (EGUI_LNC009921)". The record is from RNAcentral. Lineage: Eukaryota; Viridiplantae; Streptophyta; Magnoliopsida; Arecales; Arecaceae.